CUACAGGCUUGAAAUUAAUUCAGAAAAAAAGCGAGUGAGAAGGAGGGAUGAGGAGGUGGAGCGGUGGUGGUGAAUGCAUCGCUAUCCUUGGAGCCUGCACGCGCGCGUGCACACAUCAUCGGGAGCGUCGCUGGGCUUGCGUGCGCGUCCUCGAGAAAUAAAGAAAGGAUCAGGAAGAAGGUGAGAGAGAGAGAGAGAGAGAGAGGCAUGGCCAGAUAUCACAGCGACAAAAGAGAGAGACAGUGGUAGAGAGACCUUUUGAGAGAGAGAGAGUGAGAGUGAGGGAAGAAGGCUGCAGACUUUCAGACCUGAGAGGAAGAGGAGAGGAGGAAGAAGAGAUAGAGGAGUCUCCAUCUUCGCCAUUUCAAUCAUUAAAGCUUCACACAUUGACCGCAUCCACUCAUCAUCCUGUCAGUCACUCAGCCCCGCCCCGCUGCUCUUUGCCACAGAGGUGAAUGAUGGGAGGUGGAGGAGUCGUUAGCGGCCA
Molecule: long non-coding RNA, 487 nt
Organism: Oreochromis aureus
Lineage: Eukaryota; Metazoa; Chordata; Actinopteri; Cichliformes; Cichlidae
Source: Ensembl